ACUUGAUGAGAUUUAUGCUUACUUUGCUUUGAAAAUUGACCUUUUCAUUAAACAAAGCUUUACAAAGACCAAAUAAGUCCUUAUAAACUUUGUUUCCAAUGCAUCAUCACACAUGUGACUUGUCUGCAAAUAAGAAUUCUGCAUUCCUAGGGCCCAGUUCUCUUUUAUUUAUACCUUUGAUCUCAGCACAUUUUCUCUGGAGGUCUCCAAAUACUACUGUCCUUAUUGGAUCUUACCCUAAUGCUGCCUAAUGCCGCCAAAUGCCCAUGUCCUACAGUCAACUGUUCCAGUGGGAAAAUAAUAUUUACUUCUUCCUUUACAAGUGGCCACUCAGAACUGACCCAUGACAGUAUUCUUCAUCAUCUUCCCUUUGUAAACCUCCUGCAUCCAUAAGUCAAUUUCUUUAGGAUGAAACUUUAAUGAACUAAAAUAUCACAAAUGGCUGUUAUCCUGUAUCUGCUAUAUUUGUCGUCCAUUUCUCAACUUGGUCUUUACAGUUCACAUUUAUUCAUGAUUAAUGUGUUUCCAGUUAGUACUAGUAGAAAAAAAUUCCAUUUCUUCAUGGUUCACUAGAGAAGAUUAUAAACCUUCUAACUUAAAAUUAUGUUCAUAUUGAAAUUCUGCCCAAAUACAAAUCCCAGAUAAAGCUUCACAUGUCCUGUUAUGUUCUUCCUUGGUGACCUCAGCCUACAGAAAUUUGUGUUUUCUCCAAGUGUCUUUUGCAUUUAUGGCUCCCAGCAUAAACUUAAUCACACAUAUUUAAACUCUACAGUUGUUCUCUGUGUAAAUUAUUGCCUCAGCAGUGCUUAAUCUCCUUGUCGGUAGGAUCUAUAUUAUCCUUCCUCUGUAUCCCAUGAAGUGCCUAGAAUACUACUCUGUAGGGGUCAAAAGUGUUGAUAGAUUUGACUUUGUAAUGUCAUAAAUGGGAAAUUAUAAAGAAUAUUUUAUCUCUUCAAUUGUUAGAUUUCAAGAGUUGGGUUCUUUCUAAACUAAACUCCUGGAAAUCAGAGAAAAUGUAACCUGUUGACAGACUCACUCAGCAUCCAUCUCGGUGCCUUAUUAGUUAGAAUGCAAUCUCAGUGAAGCCAGGGAUGUUGACCCUCCUGUUCACCCCUACAAGAUGGCACACAAUUUGGGUCCUAGACAAGUGCACGUUGAAUGAAAAAAAGUGAGUUGUACCAAAUAAUUUCUGGGAUGUUUUCCUAGCCCAUAUUUCUCUUUUUGAAAACAUGCUAUGUGGUUUGUUGGUCCCUAAAAAACUCAUGUUAAAAUCUUGCUCCCAGAUUGGUAGUGUUGGGAGGUUCAGCCUACAUGGAGGCGUUUGGGUUAUGGAGUAGAUCUUGCAUCAGUGGCUUGCUGCUGUUCUUACUCUUGCAAGACUAGAUGAGUUCAUGGGACUGGAUUAGUACUUGCCAGAAGGGGUUGUUAUAAAGCUGGGAUACCCCUCAAGUUUUCCUCUUUUCACAUGCAUCCACCUCCCCUUUGGCCUUCUGUGUCAUGUUGUGACACAGCAAAAAGGCCCAUGCCAGAAGCCAGGGCCAUGCCUACAAACUUCUCAGCCUGCAUAACCAUGAGUUCCAUAAACCUCUUUUAAAUAAAUUAUGCAGUCUUGGGUAUUCUGCUAUAGCAACACAAAGCCAGUUAGGACAGAACACUACUUCCCUCACCAAAGGUGAGCCCCAUAAGCAGAGAAAGCCCCUUUUAUUUUUGUCAUAACUGAUUAGAAUUUUAAUACAUGCUUGACCUAAACCAGUCAGUCAGAUUCCCCCUUAUUCUUGUUGAACUAUUAACUUGGGGCACUGGAGUACAUAAUAGGGAUGAAAGCUGACAGUAGAAGUGAAUUGCAGGGCUGGAAGAACCACAUGCUGCCAUAGAUACCAACGGCAUAGCUCUCAGGUACCAGAAGGAGAAGACAAAGCUGAUCUGCAGAGAAAGGUGAAGGAGCAAAUCAAGGGGAAGAGACUCAUAGGGCAAGAAUAGACAAGCUUUGCCCCAGGGCUCUUGUCUGGUCCUGCCUCUGAUACCUCAGGAGUUUGACUCAUCCCCUGCCCUUAGUUUCCAUGAAUCACUCCUGGGCAGUCACCAGCCAUCUCUCAGGGUUUCCUAUUAUUAUGUCACCAAACAUAUUUUAUGAACUCAAAAUAUUCAAUAAAUAUGUGUAAUAGAGAUUGAAUUGAGAGGACCAUAAAGGUGCUUCUAAGUAAUAGACAGAGGACUUGAACCCUGCUGUCAGUUGCACCAUAGGUUGUGACUGAGUGCAAGUUAAGAAUGCUGAACCAGAUUACAUUCAUGGAUGCUUCUACCUCUCAAUUUCUGUCAUCUGCCAGAGAGAGAAAUAUUUGAAAGUUGUUCCUGCAUGUAGAACAAACAGUAAACAUCCUGAAAAGAUUUGAUAGCCAGUCUACCUUCUGUCCAUCACCUAUAGACACCCUCUUCCUUCUCAAGUCAAACUCAGUGGGUCAGUCAUGUUCACUACUAUGCUGUUACGGAGAUGGCUACGAGAGAGUGGAACCACACUGUGGAAGAAGCUUCUGUCUUCUCUGACAAGGAAGAGGAGACAUGGGAAGCUGGGAUGUCUGUUGCUUUGUGAUUCCAUGAUAGACUUGACAACACAGAAACUACCACAAUGUGAGGAAGCCCAGCAGUCCUCUGACCACACCAUACCUGAGCACAUUUACUGUGGACAGCAUGUUUAGCUUGAAGUCUUUCCUUCUACCCCAUCAUAGCUACCACUGUUGUGAGAACUCCCAUGUCCAGCACUCCAGGGAGGUGACAUCAGGUACGAAUAAGGUGAUACCAGGUACCGUGACUAUUUGUUAAAAUGUCAUGAACUAGAA
RNAcentral lists this long non-coding RNA (2837 nucleotides) under Homo sapiens (human). Its description in RNAcentral is "HSALNT0325264". Lineage: Eukaryota; Metazoa; Chordata; Mammalia; Primates; Hominidae. The record is from RNAcentral.